This 230-nucleotide ribosomal RNA is filed under the name uncultured bacterium. RNAcentral describes it as "partial 16S ribosomal RNA". It matches the Rfam family "Bacterial small subunit ribosomal RNA", at positions 562 to 791 of the family's 1533-position model. The record is from RNAcentral.
AAAGCGCACGUAGGCGGCUUUGUAAGUAAGAGGUGAAAGCCCAGAGCUCAACUCUGGAAUUGCCUUUUAGACUGCAUCGCUUGAAUCAUGGAGAGGUCAGUGGAAUUCCGAGUGUAGAGGUGAAAUUCGUAGAUAUUCGGAAGAACACCAGUGGCGAAGGCGGCUGACUGGACAUGUAUUGACGCUGAGGUGCGAAAGCGUGGGGAGCAAACAGGAUUAGAUACCCCUGU